This 488-nucleotide ribosomal RNA is filed under the name Marma nigritarsis. Its description in RNAcentral is "partial 16S ribosomal RNA". The stretch from base 97 to 395 matches the Rfam family "Bacterial large subunit ribosomal RNA", at positions 2072 to 2648 of the family's 2925-position model. Lineage: Eukaryota; Metazoa; Arthropoda; Arachnida; Araneae; Salticidae. The record is from RNAcentral.
UUUUAAAUGAAGACUAGAACAAAAGAUUUAACGUCUAUAUUUAUUUAUUUUAAUCAUCUAUUAAAUUUAUCUUAAAUGUAAAAAGACAUUUAUCCAAUAGAAAGACGACAAGACCCUAUUGAACUUAACUUCAGUUAAACUGGGGCAGUAAAUUAAUUAUUAUUUUAAUAUAAAUAUAUAAAACAUAUCCAACACAAUUGAAUAAUCCAGUUACCAUAGGGAUAACAGUGCAAUUAUUUUUAAGAGAACUUAUCUAAAAAAUAGAUUACAACCUCGAUGUUGAAUUAAUAACCUAUAUUAAAGCAAAUUUUAAAUAAGGAAGUCUGUUCGACUUUUAAACAAUUACAUGAUUUGAGUUCAGACCGGUGUAAGCCAGGUCGGUUUCUAUCUUCUAUAUAUCUUCUUACAGUACGAAAGGACCUAAAAAGUUAAUUUAAUUAUUUAAUUGGCAGAUAAAUGCAUUAGAAUUAGAAUCUAAUAAAACUUUC